CUUUUUUUUUUUUUAACUUCUGAAAUUCAUUAGGAAUUGAAAAGAGGUACAGAGGUACAGAGGACUCAAAUAACCCAAACCACAGAGACACUCUAAAGAUCUGAAAAGACACACCUUGCCUAAAAACAGAGACAGUUGAACCCCCAACCCACACCACACCAGAGAACAGAGGACACAUUAGAGGAGACGACUUUCAUUGACAAAGAAUUCAAAAAGCCAAGAGGGAUGACCAGUAGCCACAUAAGAUUGCAUUCUUCCUUCCCUGGUAACACUUUGAGCAAUGAUUGCCGCUCCUCUAUUUUCCUCCUUCAACACGCUCAAUAGCUGGUAAUCCGCAAUCCCCUGCAGCAGCGUCUUUAGCUCCACCACCUGAUAACGCAAGGCAGGCCACUGGAGUGGGUUUUGCACCGCCAUGAAAAUUUCUUUAUAAUCCCCUGCAAAAACUACUUUGGUG
This 454-nucleotide long non-coding RNA is filed under the name Brassica napus (rape). RNAcentral's name for it is "long non-coding RNA (BNAP_LNC001273)". Lineage: Eukaryota; Viridiplantae; Streptophyta; Magnoliopsida; Brassicales; Brassicaceae. The record is from RNAcentral.